RNAcentral lists this long non-coding RNA (206 nucleotides) under Elaeis guineensis (African oil palm). RNAcentral describes it as "long non-coding RNA (EGUI_LNC016463)". Lineage: Eukaryota; Viridiplantae; Streptophyta; Magnoliopsida; Arecales; Arecaceae. The record is from RNAcentral.
UAUAGGGCUGCAUCCCCACAAAGUCCUGAAGUCAGUAUCGUUUUCUUGUACGAAAUUUAUAAAGACGGCUUUAUUAGAUACAAGCCAAUAGAAUAGUCUGAUGGACCUAUAGAUAUUUUAUUAGUAUUCUCAUUAUUGGAGUCAGCUUGAGCUCUGAAAUUAGUUUGAGAUGCCCUCAAGAGCAUGUUUCUUGCUGCUGCGGUUUU